AAAACGUCAAAGCUCAAAAUUCCAUAAUCUUGGCAAAUUUCCUGAACUCUCCUCAUACAGUUCAUCAUUUCGAUUCGUGGACUUCAACACCUAGUCUAGUCGAGAAGACCUACUAUAACAAAGAUUUUCUUGCUGCUACUCGAAGAAGUUAACCUUCAAGGUCGCGUAUUUCAUCUCAUUUCUAUAAUAACUCCGACCGUGGGAUCCACUCUGUUAGGGAGAUAAAGUGAACCCAUUCGUAAAUGCGGAUAUGCUGAAUUGGAACUCGAGGCUGUUAUCCUUCGAAGAUACGGUCUUCCUACAGCUGCACUGAGUAACAAAGAGGUUAUGGGUGUAC
Coccinella septempunctata (seven-spotted ladybird) is the source of this 337-nucleotide long non-coding RNA. RefSeq lists it as uncharacterized. The transcript has 3 exons. NCBI's taxonomy places the organism in Eukaryota, Metazoa, Arthropoda, Insecta, Coleoptera, Coccinellidae. The record is from RefSeq and is a predicted model, not a curated record.